This 468-nucleotide ribosomal RNA is filed under the name uncultured bacterium. RNAcentral's name for it is "partial 16S ribosomal RNA". It matches the Rfam family "Bacterial small subunit ribosomal RNA", at positions 28 to 507 of the family's 1533-position model. The record is from RNAcentral.
GACGAACGCUGGCGGCGUGCUUAACACAUGCAAGUCGAACGGAAAGGCCCUGCUUUUGUGGGGUGCUCGAGGGGCGAACGGGUGAGUAACACGUGAGUAACCUGCCCUUGACUUUGGGAUAACUUCAGGAAACUGGGGCUAACACCGGAUAGGAGCUCCUGCUGCAUGGUGGGGGUUGGAAAGUUUCGGCGGUUGGGGAUGGACUCGCGGCUUAUCAGCUUGUGGGUGGGGUAGUGGCUUACCAAGGCUUUGACGGGUAGCCGGCCUGAGAGGGUGACCGGCCACAUUGGGACUGAGAUACGGCCCAGACUCCUACGGGAGGCAGCGGUGGGGAAUAUUGCACAAUGGGCGGGAGCCUGAUGCAGCAACGCCGCGUGCGGGAUGACGGCCUUCGUGUUGUAAACCGCUUUCGCCUGUGACGAAGCGUGAGUGACGGUAAUGGGUAAAGAAGCACCGGCUAACUACGUG